RNAcentral lists this transfer RNA (20 nucleotides) under Canistropsis marceloi. RNAcentral describes it as "partial tRNA-Phe". The record is from RNAcentral. Lineage: Eukaryota; Viridiplantae; Streptophyta; Magnoliopsida; Poales; Bromeliaceae.
GUCGGGAUNGCUCAGUUGGU